Molecule: ribosomal RNA, 378 nt
Filed under: uncultured marine Chaetocerotaceae
Lineage: Eukaryota; Bacillariophyta; Thalassiosirophyceae; Chaetocerotales; Chaetocerotaceae
Description: SSU rRNA
Rfam family: Eukaryotic small subunit ribosomal RNA
Source: RNAcentral
AGCUCCAAUAGCGUAUAUUUUUGUUGUUGCAGUUAAAAAGCUCGUAGUCGAAUUUCUGGUGGGAGAAUGUGGUCCAACACAGUUGGUACUGGCAGUCUCCGGCCAUCCUUGGGUUUAGCCAUUCUGGCAUUAGGUUGUCGGGGUGGGGAUGCCCAUCGUUUACUGUGAAAAAAUUAGAGUGUUCAAAGCAGACUUAUGUCGUUGAAUAUAUUAGCAUGGAAUAAUAAGAUAGGACUACAGUGCUAUUUUGUUGGUUUGCGCACCGUGGUAAUGAUGAAUAGGGACAGUUGUGGGUAUUCGUAUUCACUUGUAAGAGGUGAAAUUCUUAGAUUAAGGGAAGACGAACUACUGCGAAAGCAUUUACCAAGGAUGUUUUCA